UUAAAUCUCACCUUAGGACAUUUAUGAUACGAAGUGUUGGUAGUAAGUGAAUUGGGAUAUGAUUUGGGCCUUCUUUGAACCGUUUGAGCCUUUCAAGCCUACCUUUUUUGUCAAAUUAUCCUUAGAACCUUGAUUUGAGCCUCGGAGAAAAGGUGUUCUUUCUUUUAGCCAAUAUGUAGAAGGUAGACAAGUGGAGAUUUUUGAAUAAUUAUCCCUUGGAGGUCGGUCGAAAAAUUCUUAUAAGAUCUUUCUUCUUCUUCGAAAAAAAAAAUAUAAUAAUAAUAAUAGAUAUAUAUAUAUAUAUAUAUGUGCAUCUUCAUAUAUAUAUAUAUAUAUAUAUAUAUAUAUCUAAGUUCUUUGAUUCGAUUAUAAAAAAAAAAAGAAAAAAAAAAAAGAAGAAGAAGAAUAGAUUAUAAGGGAGAAAUAAGGACUAGUUGUUGAAUUGUGUUGAAAACUCGAGUCAUUGCCUCAAAGGCAAAAGUGUUGACGUGUGAAUUUUGGAGAAUCGAGUUUAUUAAAGUCCCUAGAGGUGAAUUCAUUGUUUCAAACGCCUAUCUUUCAAUUUUUGGCGUAAUCACCUCAAUUCAAGAAAAUUAGCCACACAUUCCCAUAUUACCUACCUCGGACCAAAGAGCCUAACAAUUGAAAGCCACAAAGCCCCAAUGAUCCCAAUAGCUUAUUGUUCAAUAUUAGUUGAGUAAAAUAAUUUGGUGAGUAUUUGGAGUCAAAUAUAUGCAUGUAAGUAUAAAUUCUUUCUAUCUUUAACUUGCAAAUAUUGGAUACUUGAAGCAAUUGUAUGAUUUGUGAUUGUUGGUAAUGGUGAGU
Molecule: long non-coding RNA, 825 nt
Filed under: Erythranthe guttata (spotted monkey flower)
Lineage: Eukaryota; Viridiplantae; Streptophyta; Magnoliopsida; Lamiales; Phrymaceae
Description: long non-coding RNA (EGUT_LNC001321)
Source: RNAcentral